Prionailurus viverrinus (fishing cat) is the source of this 639-nucleotide long non-coding RNA. RefSeq lists it as uncharacterized. The record is from RefSeq and is a predicted model, not a curated record. NCBI's taxonomy places the organism in Eukaryota, Metazoa, Chordata, Mammalia, Carnivora, Felidae. The transcript is spliced from 3 exons.
GCCUACCUUCCCGAUAUCCCACUGGAAAGUGAGCUGCUAGGACGUAGACGGCAUCCGUUCCGUCGCCGAGUGCCGAGUGGGCGGCGACUUGAGGGAAGAAAGCCCGGGAGGGAGACGCCGGGCGACCGCGAAGGGAGAGGUCAAAAUGCCCUGGCUGCUGUUUUCCCUGUUCCCGUGGCCCACUGGAAAAAGAAGCUGAAAUACAGGAUGUAGGUUGUCUAAUGGACCUGGAACGACGGAGGAAGCUGGACUUAGGAUCCAUUUCUGCCUGUCUCCAAAGCCCUGCCUAUACCAAACAUCAGGCCACAGCCCUGUCUCCAUGCUGACUGCCUUUCUGCACUUCCUGCCAGCCACCCUCAUGUCUGGACUUCUGGGUUUGUGUUAUCUGGGGCUGUUGAUGGACCACGAGGAGGUCCUUGGGUAUCCUCUCUGUUUCCCAGCUACUAGAGGAUGACUUGCGACAGCAUCCCAGAUUCUGGCACAUACUUAGAAAAUUCUGCACAGGCACCAGCAGGUAGACACCAAUGUGGAAAUGAAUUCUUUCCAACCCAAUGGCCAAGAAAGAUUUUUUUUUUAAUUUUUAAUGUUCAUUUUUGAGCGUGAGAGACAGAGCAUGAGUGUGGAAGGGGCACAGAGAGA